This 499-nucleotide ribosomal RNA is filed under the name Bacillus pumilus. Its description in RNAcentral is "bacterial SSU rRNA". It matches the Rfam family "Bacterial small subunit ribosomal RNA", at positions 87 to 572 of the family's 1533-position model. The record is from RNAcentral. Lineage: Bacteria; Bacillati; Bacillota; Bacilli; Caryophanales; Bacillaceae.
GGAUGUUAGCGGCGGACGGGUGAGUAACACGUGGGUAACCUGCCUGUAAGACUGGGAUAACUCCGGGAAACCGGAGCUAAUACCGGAUAGUUCCUUGAACCGCAUGGUUCAAGGAUGAAAGACGGUUUCGGCUGUCACUUACAGAUGGACCCGCGGCGCAUUAGCUAGUUGGUGGGGUAAUGGCUCACCAAGGCGACGAUGCGUAGCCGACCUGAGAGGGUGAUCGGCCACACUGGGACUGAGACACGGCCCAGACUCCUACGGGAGGCAGCAGUAGGGAAUCUUCCGCAAUGGACGAAAGUCUGACGGAGCAACGCCGCGUGAGUGAUGAAGGUUUUCGGAUCGUAAAGCUCUGUUGUUAGGGAAGAACAAGUGCGAGAGUAACUGCUCGCACCUUGACGGUACCUAACCAGAAAGCCACGGCUAACUACGUGCCAGCAGCCGCGGUAAUACGUAGGUGGCAAGCGUUGUCCGGAAUUAUUGGGCGUAAAGGGCUCGC